Long non-coding RNA from Ctenopharyngodon idella (grass carp), 2188 nucleotides. RefSeq lists it as uncharacterized. Lineage: Eukaryota; Metazoa; Chordata; Actinopteri; Cypriniformes; Xenocyprididae. The transcript has 3 exons. The record is from RefSeq and is a predicted model, not a curated record.
AAGAGAGCAAUUAAGGGAUGACAUCAUUGUUAGUGAUCACUUCCAAGGCUGUAUCUGCAGAAAAGAGGAGAAAGCGCUGGACAGAACAAAUGACGUGGAUGGAUUAUGCAGGUAGAGUGAGCGUAAACAAAACUAAAGAGGCAAUCUUGCAGAAAGCUAUAGCCAUCUCCCCCAUUACAGUGUGAAAUUGAAACUCUCCUCUGUUUCUUUACCUGCUCUGCUCCACUGUGUCAAUAAGGGCUGUUUAGCCUUUGACCCUGCCACUGGCUAGAGUGAUGAAAGAAGUGGACCGAUCAGCUCAUACACAAAGAUGGAGUUACCAUUGACAAGCAUUAUACGACUGACAGACCGCAACGGUUGGAGUUAAAAAUCAUUAUUUGUGUUCUACUGAAGAAACAAAGUCACCUACAUCUUGGAUGCCCUGGGGGUAAGCAGAUAAACAUCAAAUUUUCAUUUUUGGGUGAACUAUCCCUUUAAGAGAAAAUUUGAGGAAAAGUUUACUCAAAAAUGAAAAAUCAUCACAACCUGUGAGACCUCAGUAGAGAACAAAACAUGUUCAUAUACUCUUACAUAAAACACCAUAAAAUAACUCAUUAUAUUACAAGAUCAAGUCAAGUACAUUCCAAGUCAAGUCAACUGCUUAAAUUUCUCUCUUUCCUCACAGAAAGCAGGUUUGAUAGUGUCGGAACACUUAAAAUAUGGUUGUAUGUUUACUUUUUUAGUAACUUUUUAUCAUUUUGGAACUUGACAGCCCACCAUCCAUGUAUGUUUUUUUUCUGUACGGAAAAGAGAAGCAUGAAAAUUCAACAACAUAUCUCAUUUUGUGUUCCACGCAAACAAGAACAGUCAUUUGAAUUUGAAAUGACAUGAAGGUGAGCAAAGGAUAACAGAAUGUUAAUUUGUGCAGCAGUAUCCCUUUAACAGGAACUCCCACAGAAGCAGUAGAAAGAGAAGGCUUUAAUAUAGUUAAAAGCACUAAAAGUCUCCUGCUAUGAACAGGUUGAAAGGUAAAAUUCAAAGCUAAAAGAAUGAAAGCAACAGAUGCUAUCCAGAAAUCUUGAAAGACUAGUGCAAAACAAAGAAUUACAAAAAGAGCCUUUGAGACUUGUGUGAAGCUAGGUAAAAGAAAGUGUAAAUGUGCACAGAAAAGGAGCAAACAACUGAAGACUAAAGGCAGUAACUCAAGGUUUGAGAAAGAGCAGGACAGCUGAAGAUCAGAGGGCGCAGGUGUCCUUGCCUGAGGGUGUAACCGCGCACUCCGCUGUGAGGGCACGUUAAGAGGAGAGCUGAACAGGUGCAUAGUCCCAUGUAUCAUUGGCACACACUGGUACAGGCCAAAGACACAACAUACUGCCCCAGUGAGGCAUGACCAACAGGGAAUAUUGAGAGAGAAAGAAGAGACAACAAAGCAAACCAAGGUAGUAGGGCACUGAGGCAAACAGAUAACAGAGAUACCUUGGAGCAGUGGCAGAAGAAUCUCUCUCUUUAUACACUGGGACAAGGAUAAACUUCCCUUUCUUUGUCCUUUUCUCCUUCCCAAUGAUCUCGAACGCACACUCGUGGAUCAUGCUUGGCUCCGGUAGACCUCUAAUCCCUCUUCCUCCAUCCCUCCCUCCCAAUGUCAGGGCAGAGGUGCAGGGCUACUGUGUUUGUGAAUGUAAUUAACCUUAUCGGCGCUGUGCAGCACUGACAAAGACAGUAUGUAAGGAUAAAGGAUCGGCAGCAUUGUUCUCCAAUGUUACUCGAGAGUUCAGCAUGAAUGGCACCUCAGUGGACAAGUGUGUUUGAAUUCAGACACAUGGAUGGGUGUUUCCUCAACUUGAAAAGAUUUUCAGCCAAAAAUGAAUUUACUCACCCUCAUGUUAUUCCAAAACUGUAUGACUUUCAUUCUUCUGUAGAAAUAAAAACAUUUUUGAAAAAUGUCUCAAUGUCCAUUAGGCGUGUAACGGUACAUGUAUUCAUCUCGAACCGUUAUGGUUCGGUGCAUACAGUCAGACGAUGAAUACAGUCACAGGAGAUCCACACUCCAAUCCAGAAGGGGGUGCACACGGUAAUGCAGCACUGUUUGCUAACCGCCACAUCAGGAAAAGAGCAAAAGACGAAGAGACGAUCCCAAAACAAUUUCAGAUGGCACGCAAGAGAGCUUGCUUACGGAGCCCCGCACAUGACAUACAAGAAAAAAAAUUAA